Antechinus flavipes (yellow-footed antechinus) is the source of this 289-nucleotide long non-coding RNA. RefSeq lists it as uncharacterized. NCBI's taxonomy places the organism in Eukaryota, Metazoa, Chordata, Mammalia, Dasyuromorphia, Dasyuridae. The record is from RefSeq and is a predicted model, not a curated record. The transcript has 2 exons.
UGCAGAUAAGGAAAAAGACUUACCAGGUAGAAGGAAUCCUUUGCUGGGAUUGGCAUUCAGCCACUGCUUACAGUAGGAAUUUUCAUCAGGAUCCGGUCACACCAGGCAGGAGCUCGGCACUUUUCACUGCAAUGAAAAGAAAUGCACUGAAUUCUGUUUCAGGGACAGAGCCCUGAGAGCUUAUCCCAUGGUCUAAUCUACUUCCUGAAUAAAGAAGAGCCCAGCUUAUUAAUGCAGUCUUGUAGAUCAUCUCUUGAGUGAUGCCUUAAUAACAAUUCAGAAGUAAUAA